CAAAUACAGUUAUCACAAAAAAGGAAAAAAAUCUCUCCUCCAAAAAAUAUUCCUUUCUCCUUUUCAAUUACCAAUACCAGUAUUUGCUCUGACUUCAAUCCCUUUGAUUCAGGGUGCGAUUUCGGCUGAAUCUGGAAAAGGUUUAUUUACAUGAUUAGGAAACAAAAAUGAUGAAAGAAAUAGGGGAAAAGAAAGAUAUAUUUACAACUGUACGAAGCUAUGGAGGCUCUAGAUGCCAUGGCCCGAGCAUUUUCAAAGAAUAAGAUGUAUACUUUGAAAUAAAAGGUCCCGGAUUUUGCUUACGCUCCCGCUGCUGACAGAAUACCAAUCUUUCUAAAGGUGGCUAAGAAUCGUCAUCGUCGAAAAGGAAUGAGAGUACCAAUUGUGAUAAUCAGAUUAUUGAGGAAUAAUUAAGCUCGAGAAACUUCUUUUUAGUGUAAAAUUAUGUAAGAAUGGUGGCGAGGUCAUUGCUAACUGCUGCCUUACUUGAUAGGUUCAAUGUCGAUGAUCACUAUGGUUUGUGGUCUAAUGGCAUUUUUGCUCUGUAGGAUCCAGAAAUAUACUUGGAUGUUCGUGAGGCAUUGUUGCUGACCAAAGUGUCGGCGUAAAGUGAGCCAAAUUUUCGGCUACAACAGUUCUGUGUUGUUAUGCAGGACCCAAUUAGGAGUCUAGAUCACACUUAUUUGGACCAAUUACAGGGACCAUUUAAAGAGACCAAGAGUUUAAUCAAGAGGUGUUAAUUUUGUGAACAGGCAUUGCGGAGGAGUAUUGAGCCCUAUGGUUAAGAUCUAUUGGUGGUCUCCGUUUCUUGGUUCAAAUAUCAUUUUUAGGCAAACAAUUCAGCUCAUGGAAAUAAUUAUACAUCAUAUUUACGAAUGGUAAUGGAUUAUCAACUGUGGUGAAGUUUAAUAUGCCCGGUGCUCAGCACAGGCACAAAUCUAAUUAAUGUGUCAUUAGAUGAAUGUUAGGAAUUUCCGUGCUCAGCACAGGCACAAAUCUAAUUAAUGUGUCAUUAGAUGAAAGUGUCUAUUUGGCAGGAAAAAUAGACAAAACUUGGCCGGAUUUCUGUUCAACCGAGUCAACUCAGUAAUUCAGACCUCUAAGACGAUUCAGACCGUUGAGUUGACUGUCUAUUCCGACGAUGAAUGUAAGCGACCCAAGUGUCUGGACCGCAUAAUUCAGGCGGUUUUCUUGCCGGAUUCCGGUAACUCCAAAGAUUUUCCGGCAACCCAAUUUUAUGUAGAAACUUGACGUCACCAAAUAAAUAAUGCAUCAGGACGGGGAGGCAAAGCCGAGACACACCAAAUAAAAAAUCUUAAGCGACGGGCGAGGCGAACCAGCCACACCAAAUAAAAAUACAUCGCGAUGGGAUUAGGCGAAGUUGAGCUACACCAAAUCAAAAAUAUUAAGUGACAGGCACGAGGAGAAGCCAAGCCACACCAAAUCAAAAUCUGAAGCCACGGGCGAGGCGAAGUCGAGCCACACCAAAUAAAAAAUGUAACGCGAGCCACAUCAGCUCACAAAUGCACGACAAGCGUGGCGAAGCCACAUCACGCCCAAACUAAAAAUAUGGUUAAAAGAAAAUAAAUAAAUAUGGCACGGGUGGAUGGUUUUCAGGUCAGACCGGUGCGUAGCACGGACACAAAAUCUAGUGCAACUUGAUAUGAUGUUAGAAAUUAGUAUUUAUAGAGAAUUCAAAGAUAAUCUUUGGAUCUAGCCAUUGGAUGGAGCUGUUGGACGACGAAACUUUGGCCGCUCGACUGAACUUCCAAAGCCAAAAAACAUGUGUUGUGCAUGUCUUAUUAGGCCAUAAUAGGCAAACCCACAGAUUAUUGGUUUGCUUAGGGCUGUCAAUGGGUACCCAUUACCCGGAACCGGAACCAGACCCGUUAGAUUCGGGUCCGAUUUUGGGUCUUAAAGUUGGACCCAUUAACAACUUAGGACCGGGGGGCAAUUACCCGAUUUGACCUGAAUGUUAACGGGUCCAAACAGGUAAUACCCGUCGGGUACCCGGUUAUUUAUCCUUUUAUUCAUCUUUUUUAGCAAAAUUAUUGGUAUUUUGCU
Molecule: long non-coding RNA, 2064 nt
Organism: Papaver somniferum (opium poppy)
Lineage: Eukaryota; Viridiplantae; Streptophyta; Magnoliopsida; Ranunculales; Papaveraceae
Exons: 6
Source: RefSeq, a predicted model, not a curated record